UACCUCAAAUCUAAGAGCUUGGCGGUUUCUAAAAUAAUGAGAGGAACUUGUUUAUUUAUUCGAUGGUCCCCGAAAAUCUUACUUUAAUUUUGUUUGUAUACCGCUGUCUUAAAUAUAAUAAAAAUUAUAUUUAUAAUAAUUAAAUCUAAGAAGUCAAGUCAACGCGCAGCUUAUAUUAAAGGUUUAAUGAGUUACAUUAUUUUAAAAUGUGGAUUAAUAAAAUUGAAUAAUUAUUAUAAAAGAGGAUUUCAGUGUAAUUUUAUUUUAAUAUAUUAAAAUGAUUAAUAAUUUAGAAGUGUACAAAUCGCCCGUCGCUCGCGGGAA
Molecule: ribosomal RNA, 324 nt
Filed under: Hemilamprops cristatus
Lineage: Eukaryota; Metazoa; Arthropoda; Malacostraca; Cumacea; Lampropidae
Description: partial small subunit ribosomal RNA
Source: RNAcentral